This 492-nucleotide ribosomal RNA is filed under the name uncultured bacterium. Its description in RNAcentral is "partial 16S ribosomal RNA". It matches the Rfam family "Bacterial small subunit ribosomal RNA", at positions 29 to 507 of the family's 1533-position model. The record is from RNAcentral.
AGUGAACGCUGGCGGUAGGCCUGACACAUGCAAGUCGAACGGCAGCACAGUAAGAGCUUGCUCUUACGGGUGGCGAGUGGCGGACGGGUGAGGAAUACAUCGGAAUCUACUUUUUCGUGGGGGAUAACGUAGGGAAACUUACGCUAAUACCGCAUACGACCUACGGGUGAAAGCAGGGGAUCUUCGGACCUUGCGCGAUUGAAUGAGCCGAUGUCGGAUUAGCUAGUUGGCGGGGUAAAGGCCCACCAAGGCGACGAUCCGUAGCUGGUCUGAGAGGAUGAUCAGCCACACUGGAACUGAGACACGGUCCAGACCCCUACGGGAGGCAGCAGUGGGGAAUAUUGGACAAUGGGCGCAAGCCUGAUCCAGCCAUACCGCGUGGGUGAAGAAGGCCUUCGGGUUGUAAAGCCCUUUUGUUGGGAAAGAAAAGCAGCAGGUUAAUACCCCGCUGUUCUGACGGUACCCAAAGAAUAAGCACCGGCUAACUUCGUG